UGGGGAAUAUUGGACAAUGGGGGGAACCCUGAUCCAGCCAUGCCGCGUGUGUGAAGAAGGCCUUAUGGUUGUAAAGCACUUUAAGCGAGGAGGAGGGUACUGGUAUUAAUACUACCAGCUACUGGACGUUACUCGCAGAAUAAGCACCGGCUAACUCUGUGCCAGCAGCCGCGGUAAUACAGUGGGUGCGAGCGUUAAUCGGAUUUACUGGGCGUAAAGCGUGCGUAGGCGGCUAAUUGAGUCGGAUGUGAAAUCCCCGAGCUUAACUUGGGAAUUGCAUUCGAUACUGGUUAGCUAGAGUGUGGGAGAGGAUGGUAGAAUUCCAGGUGUAGCGGUGAAAUGCGUAGAGAUCUGGAGGAAUACCGAUGGCGAAGGCAGCCAUCUGGCCUAACACUGACGCUGAGGUACGAAAGCAUGGGGAGCAAACAGG
RNAcentral lists this ribosomal RNA (430 nucleotides) under Pseudomonadota bacterium. RNAcentral describes it as "Proteobacteria bacterium partial 16S ribosomal RNA". It matches the Rfam family "Bacterial small subunit ribosomal RNA", at positions 355 to 776 of the family's 1533-position model. The record is from RNAcentral. Lineage: Bacteria; Pseudomonadati; Pseudomonadota.